GAUGAACGCUGGCGGCGUGCCUAAUACAUGCAAGUCGAGCGAACAGACGAGGAGCUUGCUCCUUCGACGUUAGCGGCGGAAGGGUGAGUAACACGUAGGUAACCUACCUAUAAGACUGGGAUAACUUCGGGAAACCGGACCUAAUACCGGAUAAUAUUUCGAACCGCAUGGUUCGAUAGAGAAAGAUGGCUUUGCUAUCACUUAUAGAUGGACCUGCGCCGUAUUAGCUAGUUGGUAAGGUAACGGCUUACCAAGGCAACGAUACGUAGCCGACCUGAGAGAGUGAUCGGCCACACUGGAACUGGGACACGGUCCAGACUCCUACGGGAGGCAGCAGUAGGGAAUCUUCGGCAAUGGGCGAAAGCCUGACGGGGCAACGCCGCGUGAGUGAUGAAGGUCUUCGGAUCGUAAAACUCUGUUAUUAGGGAAGAACAAACGUGUAAGUAACUGUGCACGUCUUGACGGUACCUAAUCAGAAAGCCACGGCUAACUACGUG
This 497-nucleotide ribosomal RNA is filed under the name uncultured bacterium. Its description in RNAcentral is "partial 16S ribosomal RNA". It matches the Rfam family "Bacterial small subunit ribosomal RNA", at positions 28 to 507 of the family's 1533-position model. The record is from RNAcentral.